This 774-nucleotide long non-coding RNA is filed under the name Ailuropoda melanoleuca (giant panda). Its description in RNAcentral is "lncRNA (ENSAMEG00000028069.1)". Lineage: Eukaryota; Metazoa; Chordata; Mammalia; Carnivora; Ursidae. The record is from RNAcentral.
CAAACAGCCAUGCUAAAUCAUACUAAAUAAUUCAAUGCAGCACUUGCAGACGUUUGCAAGAAGCAAGAGCUGAACACACAGGAGCUGGUGCCUUAAGGGAGUGGAGGUCGUGAAAAGUUGAUGAGAUGGAGGGCCAAGGGUAAGGUAGAUCUCAAGCCCUAAAAUCAUCACAGUGCAACAUCUCUAGCAAGCAUUCUUCUGAGCAGAAGGAAAGCCUACAUUUAACAUUUUUGCAAACGUCAAAACAACACGUAUAUUUGGAACAGAGGAAUGAAGAAGUGGUGGGGGGAAGUAUGCCCCAGAGAAUCACAGAGUCAGAGUCUCUCAGUAACUGCAGAUCAAGACUGGAUCUUCUUGAAUGGUGGUGGGACAGAGAAACUAAACCCUGGUAGGAAAAGGGUCCCAAGGAAGACAAGGCCUGGGGCCAAGGAAGACUGAGGGAGACGGCUACCGGCUGAGGAACCAGAGCUACAGAGUCACUGGGACUCACGGGUAAGGCAGUUGGGUGCGGUGAGAACCAUGGGGUGUACAGAUGGCUGACUUUAGGACUUGGGGGGAAAUGCUCUUUGAUUAAGACAAGACAGAUGGGAAUGGAGAUAUAGAGAAACACCGUGAAAACGAGUUUUAUGCAAAACCAGAUCACACUCAAAAUUCGGUCUCAGGCACCACCUCACAGAGGGUCAUUCCUUUCCGGCAGCCCUCUGGAUGGCUCUAAGUGACCAUGGAUUAAUUUUAUGAAAGUCUUGAACGGCUGCUAAGAGUCCUUUUUAAACC